This 463-nucleotide ribosomal RNA is filed under the name uncultured bacterium. RNAcentral's name for it is "partial 16S ribosomal RNA". It matches the Rfam family "Bacterial small subunit ribosomal RNA", at positions 28 to 507 of the family's 1533-position model. The record is from RNAcentral.
GACGAACGCUGGCGGCGUGCUUAACACAUUCAAGUCGAACGGAAAGGCCUUUUCGGAGGUACUCGAGUGGCGAACGGGUGAGUAACACGUGGGUGAUCUGCCCUGCACUCUGGGAUAAGCCUGGGAAACUGGGUCUAAUACCGGAUAGGACCGCACUUUAGUGUGUGUGGUGGAAAGUUCUUUCGGUGUAGGAUGAGCCCGCGGCCUAUCAGCUUGUUGGUGGGGUAAUGGCCUACCAAGGCGGCGACGGGUAGCCGGACUGAGAGGUUGGUCGGCCACAUUGGGACUGAGAUACGGCCCAGACUCCUACGGGAGGCAGCAGUGGGGAAUAUUGCACAAUGGGCGCAAGCCUGAUGCAGCGACGCCGCGUGGGGGAUGACGGCCUUCGGGUUGUAAACUCCUUUCGCCAGGGACGAAGCGUUUUGUGACGGUACCUGGAGAAGAAGCACCGGCUAACUACGUG